GAGCUCAUUUCAGUAGCACAUAUACUAAAAUUAGAUUAAUACAAAGAAGAUUUGCAAGGCCUCUUAACAAGGAUGACACACAAAUUCGUGAGGAAUUCCAUACUUUU
This is a small nuclear RNA of Urocitellus parryii (Arctic ground squirrel), 107 nucleotides long. The record is from Ensembl. NCBI's taxonomy places the organism in Eukaryota, Metazoa, Chordata, Mammalia, Rodentia, Sciuridae.